Molecule: long non-coding RNA, 224 nt
Organism: Mustela erminea (ermine)
Lineage: Eukaryota; Metazoa; Chordata; Mammalia; Carnivora; Mustelidae
Exons: 3
Source: RefSeq, a predicted model, not a curated record
CAUCCUUCCCGCACCGCACGUAGAACCAUGGCCAGCACCUCAGGAUCUGGAGGAUUUGGGCAAACGGUGACCUGAUGUGGUCCUUCAGUUUCAAAGAUGAAGAACGCGUGCAGGGAGGCGAUUGCAGGGAUGUGGUUUGAGGGCGACAGCGAGCCUAGGAAUGUUUUAAGCAGAAGAGGCCUCUAGACAAAUCGUCAUUUCUGGAUCCGUACUAUUCAGGCCAA